RNAcentral lists this transfer RNA (69 nucleotides) under Marmota monax (woodchuck). RNAcentral describes it as "tRNA.Val". The record is from RNAcentral. Lineage: Eukaryota; Metazoa; Chordata; Mammalia; Rodentia; Sciuridae.
GUGGUGGCUCAGUUGGUAGAGUGCUUGCCUAACACAUGUGAGGUACUGGGUUUGAGUCUCAGCACCACA